Molecule: ribosomal RNA, 465 nt
Filed under: Vreelandella stevensii
Lineage: Bacteria; Pseudomonadati; Pseudomonadota; Gammaproteobacteria; Oceanospirillales; Halomonadaceae
Description: partial 16S ribosomal RNA
Rfam family: Bacterial small subunit ribosomal RNA
Source: RNAcentral
CCUACGGGGGGCUGCAGUGGGGAAUAUUGGACAAUGGGCGAAAGCCUGAUCCAGCCAUGCCGCGUGUGUGAAGAAGGCCUUCGGGUUGUAAAGCACUUUCAGUGGGGAAGAAAGCCUUGGGGCUAAUACCCUCGAGGAAGGACAUCACCUACAGAAGAAGCACCGGCUAACUCCGUGCCAGCAGCCGCGGUAAUACGGAGGGUGCGAGCGUUAAUCGGAAUUACUGGGCGUAAAGCGCGCGUAGGCGGUCUGAUAAGCCGGUUGUGAAAGCCCCGGGCUCAACCUGGGAACGGCAUCCGGAACUGUCAGGCUAGAGUGCAGGAGAGGAAGGUAGAAUUCCCGGUGUAGCGGUGAAAUGCGUAGAGAUCUGGAGGAAUACCAGUGGCGAAGGCGGCCUUCUGGACUGACACUGACGCUGAGGUGCGAAAGCGUGGGUAGCAAACAGGACUAGAUACCCCUGUAGUC